This 1112-nucleotide ribosomal RNA is filed under the name Escherichia coli. Its description in RNAcentral is "partial 23S ribosomal RNA". It matches the Rfam family "Bacterial large subunit ribosomal RNA", at positions 38 to 1191 of the family's 2925-position model. The record is from RNAcentral. Lineage: Bacteria; Pseudomonadati; Pseudomonadota; Gammaproteobacteria; Enterobacterales; Enterobacteriaceae.
AGUCAGAGGCGAUGAAGGACGUGCUAAUCUGCGAUAAGCGUCGGUAAGGUGAUAUGAACCGUUAUAACCGGCGAUUUCCGAAUGGGGAAACCCAGUGUGUUUCGACACACUAUCAUUAACUGAAUCCAUAGGUUAAUGAGGCGAACCGGGGGAACUGAAACAUCUAAGUACCCCGAGGAAAAGAAAUCAACCGAGAUUCCCCCAGUAGCGGCGAGCGAACGGGGAGCAGCCCAGAGCCUGAAUCAGUGUGUGUGUUAGUGGAAGCGUCUGGAAAGGCGCGCGAUACAGGGUGACAGCCCCGUACACAAAAAUGCACAUGCUGUGAGCUCGAUGAGUAGGGCGGGACACGUGGUAUCCUGUCUGAAUAUGGGGGGACCAUCCUCCAAGGCUAAAUACUCCUGACUGACCGAUAGUGAACCAGUACCGUGAGGGAAAGGCGAAAAGAACCCCGGCGAGGGGAGUGAAAAAGAACCUGAAACCGUGUACGUACAAGCAGUGGGAGCACGCUUAGGCGUGUGACUGCGUACCUUUUGUAUAAUGGGUCAGCGACUUAUAUUCUGUAGCAAGGUUAACCGAAUAGGGGAGCCGAAGGGAAACCGAGUCUUAACUGGGCGUUAAGUUGCAGGGUAUAGACCCGAAACCCGGUGAUCUAGCCAUGGGCAGGUUGAAGGUUGGGUAACACUAACUGGAGGACCGAACCGACUAAUGUUGAAAAAUUAGCGGAUGACUUGUGGCUGGGGGUGAAAGGCCAAUCAAACCGGGAGAUAGCUGGUUCUCCCCGAAAGCUAUUUAGGUAGCGCCUCGUGAAUUCAUCUCCGGGGGUAGAGCACUGUUUCGGCAAGGGGGUCAUCCCGACUUACCAACCCGAUGCAAACUGCGAAUACCGGAGAAUGUUAUCACGGGAGACACACGGCGGGUGCUAACGUCCGUCGUGAAGAGGGAAACAACCCAGACCGCCAGCUAAGGUCCCAAAGUCAUGGUUAAGUGGGAAACGAUGUGGGAAGGCCCAGACAGCCAGGAUGUUGGCUUAGAAGCAGCCAUCAUUUAAAGAAAGCGUAAUAGCUCACUGGUCGAGUCGGCCUGCGCGGAAGAUGUAACGGGGCUAAACCAUG